RNAcentral lists this long non-coding RNA (1592 nucleotides) under Fragaria vesca (wild strawberry). RNAcentral's name for it is "long non-coding RNA (FVES_LNC003240)". Lineage: Eukaryota; Viridiplantae; Streptophyta; Magnoliopsida; Rosales; Rosaceae. The record is from RNAcentral.
AACUGAAGGUCAUGCUGCGCGAAAAUCUGAUUUCCUGCACGAACUUAUGUUUUGAGUUCACAAGCGGCCUUCUCCUCAAGAUCUAAGUGUAAAAGAUCAUUUGAGGACAAUACGGCAUGAUUUAGUUAAUCAUUGCCCAAUGCCACAUUUGAAGACAUGUUAAAGAGCAUUGACAUGCUAAGUUGUUGAAACUUCUGUGAUUAGUAAAAAUCAGGAAGAGCCUUAUGAUUGAUGUAAAGAUCAGGGGGAGGUGUAAACUUCAGAGGGAGUCUAACACAUACAUACAUGUUACUAUCAAAUGUGAAGGGUGCGUUGUACUCUUUUUCUCCUACGAUCAAGGUUCAGUUUUUCUCCCACGAUCAAGGUUCAGUUUUUCUCCCACAGGGUUUUUGUGACUUGACGAGGUUUUUGACGAGGCAACAGAUCAGCACCAUCGGCAUAUCAGCGCGCGGCACAAAGGGGAGUGUUCUAGGAUAUUCCAUAUCUUUCUAGAUAUUCUUUAUGUGUGUCUUGGCCUUAUGCCAAUAGGAUAUGUAGUUAGACUAGAUCUAUGUAUUCAUAUCCUUACCAUAUUACCAUAUUGGUAUUGUGUAAUUCCUUAUAUAAAGGGCUCAUAUCAAUGAAUAAGAUGAUGAUUCUCUUGCUAUCUCUUUGUCUAUACACUUUAUACUUCAUCAAAAAUAAAGUUUUUAUGACCGGAUUCUCAAGACCAAUGACGUUGACCAGACUCCGGUAACCUUUGACCGAGCUCCGGGGAUCAUUGACUGGACUCCGGGGGACAAUGACGGGACUCCGGCGAUCGUUGACCGAGCUUCUGAGACCAUUGACGGGACUUCGGGGGCCGUUGUGCUUUAGUUACUUAUAACAGGUCCUUAUUGAGGGCAAUAUGCCCACCUAUUGGGGUCAGUAGGACCUCCUAUUAGGGGCAGUAGGGGCAGUAUGACCUCCUAUUGGAAUCAGUAAGACCUCCUACUAGGGGCAGUAGAACCCUUGAACUUAAGAUAUAAGGUAUACAUGUAUCAAGAAAUGUAUUGAAAUGAAAGAAGUGGAGUCUCUAUAAUAUUCUAUAAGAUGUAAGACUGAGAAAAUAACUUAUAUCCAAAUCUACACCAAAAGAAUGAAAGCAAGUGACUCUUGAUGCCCUAAUUGAAGGACAAUAUGACAUACACAAAUAGCAUAAUAUUCCUUUACUAGGACAUUCUACUGAGGGCAAUAGGACCACCUAUUGGGGGCAGUAAGACCUCCUACUGGGGGCAGUAGGAGGUUCGUAGGGGGGGUCUAUUGGGGGCAGUAAGGGGUUCAUCGAGGGGUCUAUUGAGGGCAGUAGGGGGUUCAUCGGGAGGUCUAUUGGGGGCAAUAGGGGUCUAUUAAGAGCAAUAAGAGAUUCGUUACAGGUCUAUUAGGAGCAGUAUGGGGUUUGUCGGGGGUCUAUUGGGGGCAGUAGGAGGUCUAUUGGAGACAGUAGAGGGUCUAUCAAGGGCAGUAAACAUUUAUUCCCCUCAAUAGAUCUCAUCCCAACAUGAAAAUUAUAUUAUAAUAGAGCCAAGUCAUACAAAAAUACAAAAGACCUACCUUAAUCACUGUACAAAAUU